RNAcentral lists this ribosomal RNA (621 nucleotides) under Triticum aestivum (bread wheat). Its description in RNAcentral is "partial small subunit ribosomal RNA". Lineage: Eukaryota; Viridiplantae; Streptophyta; Magnoliopsida; Poales; Poaceae. The record is from RNAcentral.
AUGUCUGCUGCAUCGGGCUAUGUUGCUGUUCCUCGCUGUCUGGUGAUCUUUGAUGGUACUAACUACACCGAGUUUACUGGCUUCAUGCGCAUUCACAUGCGUGGCAUCCGUCUUUGGGGUGUUCUUUCUGGCGAGGUCUGCUGUCCGCCACGUCCAGUUCCUCCGGUGGCCCCUACUCUGCCAACUCCAUCGGUUCUUCCUACGGAUGCUAAUCAGGCCGCCAAGGAUGCGGCUAAGGUUGCUGAUGAUGCUGCUGAUUGUGCUUAUGAUGAGAGGGUUUUGGCUUAUGAGGAGGCUCUUCAGACGUAUCAUGGUGCUCUGUCUGUUUACACCCAGUGGCUUGAUGAUGAUGCUCGUGCUGCUGCUGUUCUCACUGCUAGUGUUCUGCCUCAGUUUGCCUCUGAAUUUCUGGGUCUUUCUACUGUCUUUGAGAUGUGGACCCGUCUUCGUGAGCGCUAUCAGCCCUCUGGUGAUGCCUUAUACGUCUCUGUGGUCCGUCAGGAGCAUGCUCUUCAGCAGGGUGACUCUUCUGUUGAUGACUUCUAUGCACAGAGUUCUGCUAUCUGGCGCCAGCUUGAUUCUCUUCAUAGUGCUGGGUGUCGUACCUGCCCCUGUUGCUAG